GUGCCAGCCGCCGCGGUAAUACGGAGGGUGCAAGCGUUAUCCGGAUUUAUUGGGUUUAAAGGGUGCGUAGGCGGCCUUUUAAGUCAGUGGUGAAAACCUGCGGCUCAACCGUAGGCGUGCCAUUGAAACUGAAGGGCUUGAGUAACCAUGAGGCAGGCGGAAUGUGUAGUGUAGCGGUGAAAUGCUUAGAUAUUACACAGAACACCGAUUGCGUAGGCAGCUUGCUAAAGGUUCACUGACGCUGAUGCACGAAAGCGUGGGGAUCGAACAGGAUUAGAUACCCCUGUAGUCC
Molecule: ribosomal RNA, 292 nt
Filed under: uncultured bacterium
Lineage: Bacteria
Description: partial 16S ribosomal RNA
Rfam family: Bacterial small subunit ribosomal RNA
Source: RNAcentral